This 892-nucleotide ribosomal RNA is filed under the name Lepiota bengalensis. RNAcentral describes it as "LSU rRNA". It matches the Rfam family "Eukaryotic large subunit ribosomal RNA", at positions 71 to 952 of the family's 3401-position model. The record is from RNAcentral. Lineage: Eukaryota; Fungi; Basidiomycota; Agaricomycetes; Agaricales; Agaricaceae.
AGGAUUCCCCUAGUAACUGCGAGUGAAGCGGGAAAAGCUCAAAUUUGAAAUCUGGCGGUCCUUGGCCGUCCGAGUUGUAAUCUAGAGAAGUGUUGCCCGCGCUGGACCGUGUACAAGUCUCCUGGAAUGGAGCGUCAUAGAGGGUGAGAAUCCCGUCUCUGACACGGACUACCAGUGCUUUGUGGUAUGCUCUCGAAGAGUCGAGUUGUUUGGGAAUGCAGCUCAAAAUGGGUGGUAAAUUCCAUCUAAAGCUAAAUAUUGGCGAGAGACCGAUAGCGAACAAGUACCGUGAGGGAAAGAUGAAAAGAACUUUGGAAAGAGAGUUAAACAGUACGUGAAAUUGCUGAAAGGGAAACGCUUGAAGUCAGUCGCGUUGGCCAGGAAUCAGCCUUGCAUUGCUUGGUGUACUUUCUGGUUGACGGGUCAGCAUCAAUUUUGACCGCUGGAAAAAGGCUUGGGGAAUGUGGCAGCUUCGGCUGUGUUAUAGCCCCUUGUCACAUACAGCGGUUGGGAUUGAGGAACUCAGCACGCCGCAAGGCCGGGUUUCGACCACGUCCGUGCUUAGGAUGCUGGCAUAAUGGCUUUAAGCGACCCGUCUUGAAACACGGACCAAGGAGUCUAACAUGCCUGCGAGUGUUUGGGUGGAAAACCCGAGCGCGCAAUGAAAGUGAAAGUUGAGAUCCCUGUCGUGGGGAGCAUCGACGCCCGGACCAGAACUUUUGGGACGGAUCCGCGGUAGAGCAUGUAUGUUGGGACCCGAAAGAUGGUGAACUAUGCCUGAAUAGGGUGAAGCCAGAGGAAACUCUGGUGGAGCUCGUAGCGAUUCUGACGUGCAAAUCGAUCGUCAAAUUUGGGUAUAGGGGCGAAAGACUAAUCGAACCAUCUAGUAGCU